GGAAGUAAAACUCGUAACAAGGUUUCCGUAGGUGAACCUGCGGAAGGAUCAUUAUUGUAUAACCGAGGUGCGAGGGCUGUCGCUGACCCGAAAGGUCGUGCACGCCCGAGUGCCCUCACACACAUCCAUCUCACCCCUAUGUGCACCACCGCGUGGGUCCCCCUUUGGCUUGUUCGGAGGGGGGCUUACGUUUUCACACAAACUUUGUAUGCAGUGUAGAAUGUAUUUUUUGUUUUUGCGAUCACGCAAUCAAUACAACUUUCAACAACGGAUCUCUUGGCUCUC
This 285-nucleotide unclassified non-coding RNA is filed under the name plant metagenome. RNAcentral describes it as "partial contains small subunit ribosomal RNA, internal transcribed spacer 1, and 5.8S ribosomal RNA". The stretch from base 1 to 54 matches the Rfam family "Eukaryotic small subunit ribosomal RNA", at positions 1778 to 1831 of the family's 1831-position model. The record is from RNAcentral.